This 499-nucleotide long non-coding RNA is filed under the name Capsella rubella. Its description in RNAcentral is "long non-coding RNA (CRUB_LNC002180)". The record is from RNAcentral. Lineage: Eukaryota; Viridiplantae; Streptophyta; Magnoliopsida; Brassicales; Brassicaceae.
GUAGGAAAAAACGGGAAACAAGCCAGAUCCUAGAAUGAAUCAAACCCAGACACCGAAAACUUUAUCUCUCUAAUCACAUACUUAGUAAAAAGAGAGAAUGCCGCAUAAACUUUUCAUCGACCUCUGACGAAUACCAAAUGAUGAUAAACAUUUCAAAUACUAAAUUACUAUAAAAUUGAAAAAAUAAUCGAUAUGAAAAAUAGAAUAACAAAAAAUAACAACAGUAAAAAGCCAACAAAACAAACAAUGAAAAACAAAAAAAAAAUCAACGAAAAAUUAUAAUAUAACUAAAAAUAAAAGAAAAAUUUUAUAAAGCUCCCGCGCGCAGCGCGGAUCAACAACUAGUAUAUAUAUAUAUCUGUUUAGAUCUUAGAAAACUUGUAGAUUUAUAGUUGUUUAUAAGUAGGUUCGAAACGUAUGUAUCCCGGGAAAAACAAUCAAACCAAAAAUAUUGAAUCGAAAACAAACUAAAAAAGGAAGAAACGAACUUAACCAAAAC